GCGGAGGAAAAGAAAAUAACAAUGAUUUCCCUAGUAACGGCGAGUGAAGAGGAAAGAGCUCAAAGUUGGAACCUGUUUGGCUUAGCUAAACCGGAUUGUAAACUGUAGAAACAUUUUCCAGAUACACUAGACAAAAAAGUCCUUUGGAACAGGGCAUCAUAGAGGGUGAGAAUCCCGUCUUUGGUCUAAGUAGUUGUCUAUUGUGAUAUGUUUUCAAAGAGUCAGGUUGUUUGGGAAUGCAGCCUAAAUUGGGUGGUAAAUCUCACCUAAAGCUAAAUAUUUGCGAGAGACCGAUAGCGAACAAGUACCGUGAGGGAAAGAUGAAAAGAACUUUGAAAAGAGAGUUAAACAGUAUGUGAAAUUGUUAAAAGGGAACCGUUUGGAGCCAGAUUGGCUUGAUUGUAAUCAACCUAGAAUUCGUUUUGGGUGCACUUGCAGUCUAUGCCUGCCAACGACAGUUUGAUUUGGAGGAAAAAAUUAAUAGGAAUGUGGCCUUUCGAGGUGUUAUAGCCUAUUAUCAUACUCUGGAUUGGACUGAGGAACGCAGUGAAUGCCUUUAGGCAAGAUUGCUGGGCGCUUUCGCUAAUAAAUGUUAGAAUUUCUGCUUCGGGUGGUGCUAAUGUUUAAAGGAGGAACUCGUUUAGUAUAUUUUUUAUUCGCUUAGGUUGUUGGCUUAAUGACUCUAAAUGAC
Molecule: ribosomal RNA, 691 nt
Filed under: Mucor racemosus
Lineage: Eukaryota; Fungi; Mucoromycota; Mucoromycetes; Mucorales; Mucoraceae
Description: LSU rRNA
Rfam family: Eukaryotic large subunit ribosomal RNA
Source: RNAcentral